This 87-nucleotide ribosomal RNA is filed under the name Mediterraneibacter gnavus. Its description in RNAcentral is "[Ruminococcus] gnavus partial 23S ribosomal RNA". It matches the Rfam family "Bacterial large subunit ribosomal RNA", at positions 2839 to 2925 of the family's 2925-position model. Lineage: Bacteria; Bacillati; Bacillota; Clostridia; Lachnospirales; Lachnospiraceae. The record is from RNAcentral.
UGAAGACGACGAGGUAGAUAGGGCAGAGGUGGAAGUGCGGUAACGCAUGGAGCUGACUGUUACUAAUAGGUCGAGGGCAUAACCAAG